GGGUCUCUGGCAUGAUGAUUUGGGACAGACAAUAAAAAUCACAUUGCCAGGGAUUACUA
This 59-nucleotide microRNA precursor is filed under the name Monopterus albus (swamp eel). RNAcentral describes it as "Mal-Mir-23-P2a_pre stem-loop". It matches the Rfam family "mir-23 microRNA precursor family", at positions 10 to 68 of the family's 73-position model. The record is from RNAcentral. Lineage: Eukaryota; Metazoa; Chordata; Actinopteri; Synbranchiformes; Synbranchidae.